AGAAGGGUAGCAAUACCUGAGUACAGUGGCGCACGGGUGAGUAACACGUGACUAACCUACCCUCGAGUGUGGAAUAACAUCGGGAAACCGAUGCUAAUACCGCAUAAUAUCGCAAGAUCAAAGCAGCAAUGCGCUGGAAGAGGAGUCCGCGGCCGAUUAGCUAGUUGGCGGGGUAAAAGCCCACCAAGGCGAAGAUCGGUAGCCGGCCUGAGAGGGCACACGGCCACACUGGCACUGAAACACGGGCCAGACUCCUACGGGAGGCAGCAGUGGGGAAUCUUGCACAAUGGAGGAAACUCUGAUGCAGCGACGCCGCGUGAGCGAUGAAGCCCUUCGGGGUGUAAAGCUCUUUCGACGGGAACGAUAAUGACGGUACCCGAAGAAGAAGCUGCGGCUAACUACGUGCCAGCAGCCGCGGUAAUACGUAGGCAGCAAGCGUUGUUCGGAAUUACUGGGCGUAAAGAGUACGUAGGCGGUGCUCUAAGUCUGUCGUGAAAUCUCCCGGCUUAACUGGGAGGGUGCGGCGGAAACUGGAGUGCUCGAGUAUGGGAGAGGUAAGCGGAAUUCCUGGUGUAGCGGUGAAAUGCGUAGAUAUCAGGAGGAACACCUGUGGUGUAGACAGCUUACUGGACCAUGACUGACGCUGAGGUACGAAAGCGUGGGUAGCAAACAGGAUUAGAUACCCUGGU
RNAcentral lists this ribosomal RNA (689 nucleotides) under uncultured bacterium. RNAcentral describes it as "bacterial SSU rRNA". It matches the Rfam family "Bacterial small subunit ribosomal RNA", at positions 70 to 791 of the family's 1533-position model. The record is from RNAcentral.